Molecule: ribosomal RNA, 253 nt
Filed under: uncultured bacterium
Lineage: Bacteria
Description: partial 16S ribosomal RNA
Rfam family: Bacterial small subunit ribosomal RNA
Source: RNAcentral
UACGUAGGGGGCUAGCGUUGUCCGGAUUUAUUGGGCGUAAAGAGCGUGUAGGCGGCCAGGUAGGUCUGCUGUGAAAACUCGAGGCUCAACCUCGAGACGUCGGCGGAUACCAUCUGGCUAGAGUCCGGAAGAGGAGAGUGGAAUUCCUGGUGUAGCGGUGAAAUGCGCAGAUAUCAGGAAGAACACCCGUGGCGAAGGCGGCUCCCUGGUCCGAUUCUGACGCUGAGACGCGAAAGCGCGGGGAGCGAACGGG